UUAAACCGAUGUGUUUUUAAUCUAGAUCUAAAAGUGUCUUCUGUUGAAACACAUCUGAUCUCUUCUGAAAGCUGAUUCCAGCUACAGGUUUAAAACUGCCCACUGUUGAAACACAUCUGAUCUCAUUUGAAAGCUGAUUCCAGCUACAGAUCUAAAAGUGUCUUCUGUUGAAACACAUCUGAUCUCUUCUGAAAGCUGAUUCCAGCUACAGGUUUAAAAGUGCCCACUGUUGAAACACAUCUGAACUCAUCUGAAAGCUGAUUCCAGCUACAGAUCUAAAAGUGCCUACUGUUGAAACACAUCUGAUCUCAUCUGAAAGCUGAUUCCAGCUACAGAUUUAAAAGUGCCUACUGUUGAAACACAUCUGA
Non-coding RNA from Misgurnus anguillicaudatus (oriental weatherfish), 368 nucleotides. NCBI's taxonomy places the organism in Eukaryota, Metazoa, Chordata, Actinopteri, Cypriniformes, Cobitidae. The record is from RefSeq and is a predicted model, not a curated record.